UAUAAAGACCAUCCUAAACCUGGAGCAUUC
RNAcentral lists this non-coding RNA (30 nucleotides) under Mus musculus (house mouse). The record is from RNAcentral. Lineage: Eukaryota; Metazoa; Chordata; Mammalia; Rodentia; Muridae.